AGUAUCCUUGACCAUCUCUGCUUUGCAGUAUCUACUCAUGGAACUCUUUCCACCACUGUGUAAGGAAGCCCUCAUUGGCAGACAGACUAACAUCCUGAGAGCAAUAGUACCAUCCUGGCCCUUCUCUUACCUCUCUUUGGGUGACCCAAUGAAAAUAACCUCACUUGGCUACCUUCCAGGCUGUGCUGGAUAUCAUGGACAUAGUACCUACAGAGAAGGUUCAUCCUAGAAGGCGAAAACUUCAAGUGCUUGACCUGAGAAAUAUGCACCACAACUUCUGAGAUGUUUGUGCAAUUGCAGAAGACGGAGGUUUCUCAGCACAGGCAGAGAGAAAGAAGCAAACAGUCAAGGACCUUCCUAGAUUUACAAUUUCUCCAUGUUCACAUCUAGAAGUGUAUUUGGACUGAUGGCUGCCUUUGAAGGUCAUAAACUACAACAUUCAUCAGUGGUUGAUUGAUGGAUAAAAGAGAAGUCAAGGGCAUUUGCCAGGUAUUUUAAUGUUCUGAGAAGAUGAACUAUACAUGUACAUUGAAAGAAAAGUCACAUUUAGCAACCUGGUGUACAGAAAAUCUCUUCAAAAGAUAGUAAUGAGACAUGAAUCAGCUCUGUGUGACAGUCUUUUGCCCGACUUUCCUUGGGAUGGACAGUGUAAAAGCUGAUACAGUGAGAAGGAAAGAUGGUGUGCUGUGGUGCUUAACCCGGAAAUAAUUGCCUCUUACUUAAAAGUAAAAUCAAAAUAGAUGAUCAGAAGCUGUGUACCUGACAGCUGUUCUUUCUUCUAUUUAUACCUCACUUUACUUCAUGGGGGAUUUUCAGAGACUAGAAUCUGAAAACAGUGAGGACAAAACCAAAUCUUUUGACAGCUUCCUAAAUGAGCUAGUGAAAGUGGAAAUCUGCAGAUCUUGUCAUAAAUCACAAAUGGAAGUCUAUAUGAGUUCCAAGUAUGGUGGUGUUCAACAUAUGGAAAGAUAAGACUGUAUUCAGCAAGUGUUCUUUUCUUGAUCUCCUUCAUGCCAUCUAAUUUACUUAUUGUCUGCUUUACUUGACAUCUCACAUACAUAAAAGGACAAUUAUAGCAACUAGAAUGGAAAAAAACCUCAAGACACAUAAAAGAAGCUUCCUUCCAUGAUGAAAGAUUUUGAUCUUUGAGGAAACUACUAGACAAGAGAUCCACUCAGAGAAAUCUGUUCUUGAUAACAUGGCAGCCAUUUGUUCUCUGAAGAUACAGGUUUCACAUUCUUGUGGCCAGGCAGCUCUAUUGUAGAAAGACAGUGCUGCUGCUGACCAUUGUUGGGAGUUGGACUACAGACUAUCAAGAUUGUAAAGCUCUAAGAUUUUUCACCAGCACCAUGUCUACCUGCAAACCAUCAUGAUUAUGAUGGACUAAACCCCUGAAAGCCAGCCUGUAAGCCAACCCC
Mastomys coucha (southern multimammate mouse) is the source of this 1418-nucleotide long non-coding RNA. RefSeq lists it as uncharacterized. The record is from RefSeq and is a predicted model, not a curated record. Lineage: Eukaryota; Metazoa; Chordata; Mammalia; Rodentia; Muridae. The transcript is spliced from 10 exons.